This 547-nucleotide small RNA is filed under the name Arabidopsis thaliana (thale cress). Its description in RNAcentral is "ATSL149340". The record is from RNAcentral. Lineage: Eukaryota; Viridiplantae; Streptophyta; Magnoliopsida; Brassicales; Brassicaceae.
AAAUAAAAAUCUAUGUUUCUUUCUCUAUCAUUUGAUAUGCAUUUUGUUUAAUGAUUUUUAAAUUUUAUAUUACUGAGCACUAUACGAAUAAUAUCUACACAGAUAUAGACUGCUGUACAGAUAUAAACUGCUGUACAGAUAUAAAUCACUGUACAGAAGAAUAUUUAUUCGGAAACUUAUACUUCUUAAAAAAAUUUUAGAUAUAAAUUACUGUAUAUAUAGAGACUAAUGUAUAUAUAUGAUUACUGUACUCAUAUAGACCACUAUACAGAUAUAAACCACUGUACAGAUUGAUGCAUCUGUUAAACGAAAUCAUAAUUUACUAUUAAACAAACAAGUAUCUUCUGUACAGAUGCAUCAUUUGUACAGUGGUCUAUAUCUGUACAAUGGUUUAUAUUUGUACACUAGUUUAUAUCUGUACAAUAGUCUAUAUUUUUGUACAGUGCCCUAUAAUAUAAAAUUUAAAAAUAUUAAACAAAAUGCAUAUCAAAUGAUAGAGAAUAAAACAUAAAUUUUAUUUAUAUGAUUAAUUUUAGAAAAAUAAAAU